Molecule: ribosomal RNA, 467 nt
Filed under: uncultured bacterium
Lineage: Bacteria
Description: partial 16S ribosomal RNA
Rfam family: Bacterial small subunit ribosomal RNA
Source: RNAcentral
GACGAACGCUGGCGGCGUGCUUAACACAUGCAAGUCGAACGGAAAGGCCCUGCUUUUGUGGGGUGCUCGAGUGGCGAACGGGUGAGUAACACGUGAGUAACCUGCCCUUGACUUUGGGAUAACUUCAGGAAACUGGGGCUAAUACCGGAUAGGAGCUCCUGCUGCAUGGUGGGGGUUGGAAAGUUUCGGCGGUUGGGGAUGGACUCGCGGCUUAUCAGCUUGUUGGUGGGGUAGUGGCUUACCAAGGCUUUGACGGGUAGCCGGCCUGAGAGGGUGACCGGCCACAUUGGGACUGAGAUACGGCCCAGACUCCUACGGGAGGCAGCAGUGGGGAAUAUUGCACAAUGGGCGGAAGCCUGAUGCAGCAACGCCGCGUGCGGGAUGACGGCCUUCGGGUGGUAAACCGCUUUCGCCUGUGACGAAGCGUGAGGGACGGUAAUGGGUAAAGAAACACCGGCGAACUACGU